AUCAUGGCUCAGAUUGAACGCUGGCGGCAUGCUUUACACAUGCAAGUCGAACGGGGGUGGGGCAACCCACUCUAGUGGCGAACGGGUGAGUAAUACAUCGGAACGUACCCCGUAGUGGGGGAUAACCCGGCGAAAGCCGGACUAAUACCGCAUAUGCUCUACGGAGGAAGGCAGGGGACCGCAAGGCCUUGUGCUAUGGGAGCGGCCGAUGUCCGAUUAGCUAGUUGGUGGGGUAAUGGCCUACCAAGGCGACGAUCGGUAGCUGGUCUGAGAGGAUGAUCAGCCACACUGGGACUGAGACACGGCCCAGACUCCUACGGGAGGCAGCAGUGGGGAAUUUUGGACAAUGGGGGCAACCCUGAUCCAGCCAUGCCGCGUGCGGGAAGAAGGCCUUCGGGUUGUAAACCGCUUUUGGUCGGGAAGAAAAGGCCACUCUUAAUACGGGUGGUUUUGACGGUACCGGCAGAAAUAAGCACGGCUAAAAAAAUCC
RNAcentral lists this ribosomal RNA (490 nucleotides) under uncultured bacterium. RNAcentral's name for it is "bacterial SSU rRNA". It matches the Rfam family "Bacterial small subunit ribosomal RNA", at positions 16 to 508 of the family's 1533-position model. The record is from RNAcentral.